AUGUACAUGCCUACAACAUAACGUUAAUGCACUAGAUCCCAUUAGAACUCUGCAGUUAAGCGUUCUUAGGCUAGAGUAGCACUAGAAUGGGUGACCGCCCUGGAAGUCCUAGUGUUUUACAUG
Molecule: non-coding RNA, 123 nt
Organism: Picea glauca (white spruce)
Lineage: Eukaryota; Viridiplantae; Streptophyta; Pinopsida; Pinales; Pinaceae
Source: Rfam